RNAcentral lists this ribosomal RNA (157 nucleotides) under Gonatophragmium triuniae. Its description in RNAcentral is "5.8S ribosomal RNA". It matches the Rfam family "5.8S ribosomal RNA". From Rfam's summary of the family: 5.8S ribosomal RNA (5.8S rRNA) is a component of the large subunit of the eukaryotic ribosome. It is transcribed by RNA polymerase I as part of the 45S precursor that also contains 18S and 28S rRNA. Lineage: Eukaryota; Fungi; Ascomycota; Dothideomycetes; Acrospermales; Acrospermaceae. The record is from RNAcentral.
AAACUUUCAACAACGGAUCUCUUGGUUCCGGCAUCGAUGAAGAACGCAGCGAAAUGCGAUAACUAGUGUGAAUUGCAGAUUUACGUGAAUCAUCGAGUCUUUGAACGCACAUUGCGCUCCCUGGUUCUCCAGGGAGCAUGUCUAUCCGAGCGUCGUU